GAUGAAGAACGUAGUGAAAUGCGAUACUUGGUGUGAAUUGCAGAAUCCCGCGAAUCAUCGAGUUUUUGAACGCAAGUUGCGCCCGAAGCCAUUCGGCCGAGGGCACGUCUGCCUGGGUGUCACGCAUCGUUGCCCCCCCAAACUCCGGUUCGGGCGGGGCGGAAGUUGGCCUCCCGUGCGUGCCUGCGCGCGCGGUUAGCCCAAAAGCGAGUCCUCGGCGACGAGCGCCACGACAAUCGGUGGUUUUUUUACCCUCGUUCCUCGUCGUGCGUGCCCCGUCGCCCGAACGCGCUCUUGCGACCCUUACGCGUCGCCUCGGCGGCGCUCCCAACGCGACCCCAGGUCAGGCGGGACUACCCGCUGAGUUUAAGCAUAUCAAUAAGCGGAGGA
RNAcentral lists this unclassified non-coding RNA (390 nucleotides) under soil metagenome. RNAcentral describes it as "partial contains 5.8S ribosomal RNA, internal transcribed spacer 2, and large subunit ribosomal RNA". The stretch from base 1 to 122 matches the Rfam family "5.8S ribosomal RNA", at positions 35 to 154 of the family's 154-position model. The record is from RNAcentral.